This 466-nucleotide ribosomal RNA is filed under the name uncultured bacterium. Its description in RNAcentral is "partial 16S ribosomal RNA". It matches the Rfam family "Bacterial small subunit ribosomal RNA", at positions 28 to 507 of the family's 1533-position model. The record is from RNAcentral.
GAUGAACGCUGGCGGCGUGCUUAACACAUGCAAGUCGAACGAUGAAGCCCAGCUUGUUGGGUGGAUUCGUGGCGAACGGGUGAGUAACACGUGAGUAACCUGCCCUUAACUCUGGGAUAAGCCUGGUCAACUGGGUCUAAUACCGGAUAGGAGAGUUCACCGCCCGGAGGGUGUUGGAAAGAUUUAUCGGUUUUGGAUGGACUCGCGGUGUAUCAGCUUGUUGGUGAGGUAAUGGCACACUAAGGCCAUGCCGGGUAGCCGACCUGAGAGGGUGACCAGCCACACUGGGACUGAGACACGGCCCAGACUCCUACGGGAGGCAGCAGUGGGGAAUAUUGCACAAUGGGCGAGAGCCUGAUGCAGCGACGCCGCGUGAGGGAUGACGGCCUUCGGGUUGUAAACCUCUUUCAGUAGGAAAGAAGCGAAAGUGACGGUACCUGCAGAAGAAGCACCGGCUAACUACGUG